Molecule: ribosomal RNA, 253 nt
Filed under: uncultured bacterium
Lineage: Bacteria
Description: partial 16S ribosomal RNA
Rfam family: Bacterial small subunit ribosomal RNA
Source: RNAcentral
UACGGAGGAUGCAAGCGUUAUCCGGAAUAAUUGGGCGUAAAGCGUCCGCAGGUGGCUAUGUAAGUCUGCUGUUAAAGAGUGAGGCUCAACCUCAUAAGAGCAGUGGAAACUACAUAGCUAGAGUGCGUUCGGGGCAGAGGGAAUUCCUGGUGUAGCGGUGAAAUGCGUAGAUAUCAGGAAGAACACCGGUGGCGAAAGCGCUCUGCUAGGCCGCAACUGACACUGAGGGACGAAAGCUAGGGGAGCGAAUGGG